Molecule: long non-coding RNA, 279 nt
Filed under: Daucus carota (carrot)
Lineage: Eukaryota; Viridiplantae; Streptophyta; Magnoliopsida; Apiales; Apiaceae
Description: long non-coding RNA (DCAR_LNC007431)
Source: RNAcentral
UGAUAUGUCUUCCGACAGCUCUGCAGCUAGUUCUAACCUGUACUAUGGCCGGUCGAGCGAGUGGCGCCGGCGUCAGGACCUGAUCAACCGGAUUCGCCGGUUGCCGGCCGAGCUUAUCACGGUGAGAAUCGCGGAGGCGUUGGAGGACGAGGAGCAGUCCUAUGAGUCUGCUCUGGAGAUUGUUUACCAUGAGCUUCUGCUACCGGGUCGCGCCCGGGACGCGGAGGAGGUGGACGGGCGGUUGAUGGUGCCGAUUGACAACCCGCCGGUUCCUCCUGG